UACGAAGGGGGCUAGCGUUGCUCGGAAUUACUGGGCGUAAAGCGCACGUAGCGGUCUCUUAAGUCGGUGGUGAAAUCCUGGAGCUCAACUCCAGAACUGCCUUCGAUACUGGGGGACUCGAGUUCGGGAGAGGUGAGUGGAACUGCGAGUGUAGAGGUGAAAAUUCGUAGAUAUUCGCAAGAACACCAGUGGCGAAGGCGGCUCACUGGCCCGGUACUGACGCUGAGGUGCGAAAGCGUGGGGAGCAAACAGGG
This 254-nucleotide ribosomal RNA is filed under the name uncultured bacterium. RNAcentral describes it as "partial 16S ribosomal RNA". It matches the Rfam family "Bacterial small subunit ribosomal RNA", at positions 524 to 777 of the family's 1533-position model. The record is from RNAcentral.